CUUUCCCUCUUUCUUCCUGCUUUACACAUGCAAGUCGAACGGCAGCGCGGGCUUCGGCCUGGCGGCGAGUGGCGAACGGGUGAGUAAUACAUCGGAACGUGCCCAGUAGUGGGGGAUAGCUCGGCGAAAGCCGGAUUAAUACCGCAUACGACCUGAGGGUGAAAGCGGGGGAUCUUCGGACCUCGCGCUAUUGGAGCGGCCGAUGGCAGAUUAGCUAGUUGGUGGGGUAAAGGCCUACCAAGGCGACGAUCUGUAGCUGGUCUGAGAGGACGACCAGCCACACGGGGACUGAGACACGGCCCAGACUCCUACGGGAGGCAGCAGUGGGGAAGUUUGGACAAUGGGCGAAAGCCUGAUCCAGCAAUGCCGCGUGUGUGAUGAAGGCCUUCGGGUUGUAAAGCACUUUUGGCGGGAACGAAAAGGACUGUGCCAAUACCACGGUUCGAUGACGGUACCCGCAGAAUAAGCACCGGCUAACUACGUG
Molecule: ribosomal RNA, 484 nt
Filed under: uncultured bacterium
Lineage: Bacteria
Description: partial 16S ribosomal RNA
Rfam family: Bacterial small subunit ribosomal RNA
Source: RNAcentral